UACGUAGGGGCCUAGCGUUGUCCGGAUUUAUUGGGCGUAAAGAGCUCGUAGGCGGUUUGGUGAGUCGGGUGUGAAAUCUCCACGCUCAACGUGGAGGGGCCACCCGAUACUGCCAUGACUAGAGUCCGGUAGGGGAGUGUGGAAUUCCCGGUGUAGCGGUGAAAUGCGCAGAUAUCGGGAGGAACACCGGUGGCGAAGGCGGUUCUCUGGGCCUGUACUGACGCUGAGGAGCGAAAGCGUGGGGAGCGAACAGG
This 254-nucleotide ribosomal RNA is filed under the name uncultured bacterium. Its description in RNAcentral is "partial 16S ribosomal RNA". It matches the Rfam family "Bacterial small subunit ribosomal RNA", at positions 524 to 776 of the family's 1533-position model. The record is from RNAcentral.